CCUACGGGUGGCAGCAGUGAGGAAUAUUGGUCAAUGGGCGCGAGCCUGAACCAGCCAAGUAGCGUGAAGGAUGACUGCCCUACGGGUUGUAAACUUCUUUUAUAAAGGAAUAAAGUGAGGCGCGUGUGCCUUUUUGUAUGUACUUUAUGAAUAAGGAUCGGCUAACUCCGUGCCAGCAGCCGCGGUAAUACGGAGGAUCCGAGCGUUAUCCGGAUUUAUUGGGUUUAAAGGGAGCGUAGGUGGGUUGUUAAGUCAGUUGUGAACGUUUGCGGCUCAACCGUAAAAUUGCAAUUGAUACUGGCAGUCUUGAGUACAGUUGAGGCAGGCGGAAUUCGUGGUGUAGCGGUGAAAUGCUUAGAUAUCACGAAGAACUCCGAUUGCGAAGGCAGCUUACUAGACUGCCACUGACAUUGAUGCACGAAAGUGUGGGUAUCAAACAGGAUUAGAUACCCCUGUAGUC
Molecule: ribosomal RNA, 460 nt
Filed under: uncultured bacterium
Lineage: Bacteria
Description: partial 16S ribosomal RNA
Rfam family: Bacterial small subunit ribosomal RNA
Source: RNAcentral